AGGAAUGGAUAACACCAGAGAUCCCUUCAGUCUCCACAGAUUUAGGAAUGGAUAACACCAGAGAUCCCUUCAGUCUCCACAGAUUUAGGAAUGGAUAACACCAGAGAUCAAUUCAGUCUCCACAGAUUUAGGAAAAUCAGCGUUUUAGUUUUUUUGCCCCUAAUUUGUGUACCAAUUCGCAGAGUUCACUGCAGUUAGAUGUACUGGUGCCACUCAGGCAGUUAGAUGUACUGGUGCCACUCAGACAGUUAGAUGUACUGGUGCCACUCAGGCAGUCAGAUGUACUGGUGCCACUCAGGCAGUUAGAUGUGCUGGUGCCACUCAGAUGUGCUGGUGCCACUCAGAUGUACUGGUGCCACUCAGGCAGUUAGAUGGGCUGGUGCCACUCAGACAGUCAGAUGAGCUGGUGCCACUCAGGCAGUUAGAUGUACUGGUGCCACUCAGAUGUACUGGUGCCACUCAGGCAGUUAGAUGUACUGGUGCCACUCAGGCAGUUAGAUGUACUGGUGCCACUCAGACAGUUAGAUGUACUGGUGCCACUCAGGCAGUCAGAUGUACUGGUGCCACUCAGGCAGUUAGAUGUGCUGGUGCCACUCAGAUGUGCUGGUGCCACUCAGAUGUACUGGUGCCACUCAGGCAGUUAGAUGGGCUGGUGCCACUCAGACAGUCAGAUGAGCUGGUGCCACUCAGGCAGUUAGAUGUACUGGUGCCACUCAGAUGUACUGGUGCCACUCAGGCAGUUAGAUGUACUGGUGCCACUCAGACAGUCAGAUGUACUGGUGCCACUCAGGCAGUUAGAUGUGCUGGUGCCACUCAGAUGUGCUGGUGCCACUCAGGCAGUUAGAUGGGCUGGUGCCACUCAGGCAGUUAGAUGUACUGGUGCCACUCAGACAGUCAGAUGUAC
RNAcentral lists this long non-coding RNA (904 nucleotides) under Salmo salar (Atlantic salmon). RNAcentral describes it as "lncRNA (ENSSSAG00000088501.1)". The record is from RNAcentral. Lineage: Eukaryota; Metazoa; Chordata; Actinopteri; Salmoniformes; Salmonidae.